RNAcentral lists this long non-coding RNA (419 nucleotides) under Monodelphis domestica (gray short-tailed opossum). Its description in RNAcentral is "lncRNA (ENSMODG00000044849.1)". The record is from RNAcentral. Lineage: Eukaryota; Metazoa; Chordata; Mammalia; Didelphimorphia; Didelphidae.
AUCCCAUUAGCAUGACUGGAAUGCUCCAAAAAGAGGUCACAUGUUAAGAGUCCUAGGAACAUGACCCAGAACUAAGGGUUAUGAGUUGGGGUAGAGAGACUUUGAUUAGUUCCUGAGAUGUGAUAGACCAGCUCAAAGAGACAGAAAGGGAUGUGGAGAAAAGGACUACAAAAGAUGAGACCCAUAAAGGAGAUCAAGGGCUUUUGGUGUGAGUUUGCUGGCAUUGAUUCUUCUACUCCAUUUGGCAUUAGUGGCAUAGGAGGAAGACACCUUCAUGGGCUGAACUCGGAGUGCAUUCAAGAGGCACUAAUAGACCAAGGAAUUCCCUCUUUCCUCCCUGGCUGCUCUAAUGCCUGGAGGGAAGAUAAACUAGACUGUCUGGCGACUGACUAACUUCCAAUGAAGUUCCCAUAAAAAUG